This is a non-coding RNA of Aegilops tauschii subsp. strangulata, 3582 nucleotides long. The record is from RefSeq and is a predicted model, not a curated record. NCBI's taxonomy places the organism in Eukaryota, Viridiplantae, Streptophyta, Magnoliopsida, Poales, Poaceae.
CUCUCCUCUUUCCGCCGCCUCCACGCUCGCUUCCUCCUCCAUCCUCCCGCGUCAGUCGCACCCCCUCCUCCCCUCCCGCAUCUCGUCCACCCUGGGAUCCGGCGAGGUCGGGUCCUCGAGCCAUGGAGGCACUCGUCGCCGGUCCCUCGCCGUUGGCCUCCCAUGCGUCGCACCACCCCUCCUGCCGCCUCGGCUCUCUCCUCCCGCCUCGGCUCUCACCUCCAGCUGCAGCUCUAGAGGAGAGGAGAAGACAAAGACAGAGAGAUGGCCGCCGGUGCUGGCGCUGCUGCUGGCGUCGAUGCUGGCGGCCCCGCCGCCGACUGCUACUCCUCCACCGCCUCGCCUCUUCCUCCUCCUCGCCUUCCCAUCGCUCACGCGCAGGUCGCCCGACGGCAGGGAUGGUCAGGAAGGCUUCCCAGCCCGACGGUGCCGUCAUGGGAGCUGCAGGGCGGAGGUGAGGAUGCGUCGCUCGCGGAUUUGAUCGAGGGUGCCACGCCGCCGUCGCCGACUGGAUUUGCUCCUCCAUCGCCGCCGCGAGUCAACUCCACCGUUUUCGCCAGGAAUCCCUCCCCGGCAAGGUCUCCCUCGUUGCUCCUCCUCCUACAAUCUCUCCCACAAUGCAGGAGGAGCGGAAGGGGCCACGGAUGAGGAGGAAGGAGACUAGCAGGAGGAGGAGAUAUUCUUUUUCGAUUUGGUUCUCAUGCUGGCAUCUCCCUGCUGUCUGCUUUCCUUUUAGUUUCCAACUUUGAUGCUUGGAUUUGUUGUCUUGGCCAGCAGGAGUAGGAGGAGACAGGGAGGAUGAGGAAGGAGACAAGAAGGAGGAAGAGAAAAUCUUGCUUGCCUUAUGGACUCGCAAUAAACAGGCAAUUGGUUGGGCUACAUGAUAGACACUUUAAUAUAUCUUCUUGGAAGCCGCUUAGUGUUCCAAUGAAUAAUUGUCGCUGGUGUGGUGAACGCCUUCAUUGUUUCGUGGGCUGCUUCCUGCCUGGUGUGGUUGAAGAAUUUUCAGAGGCAAUUGGUUGGGCUACAUGAUAGACACUUUAAUAUAUCUUCUUGGAAGCCGCUUAGUGUUCCAAUGAAUAAUUGUCGCUGGUGUGGUGAACGCCUUCAUUGUUUGGUGGGCUGCUUCCUGCCUGGUGUGGUUGAAGAAUUUUCAGAGGCAAUUGGUUGGGCUACAUGAUAGACACUUUAAUAUAUCUUCUUGGAAGCCGCUUAGUGUUCCAAUGAAUAAUUGUCGCUGGUGUGGGGUGAACGCCUUCAUUGUUUGGUGGGUUGCUUCCUGCCUGGUGUGGUUGAAGAAUUUUCAGAGGCAAUUGGUUGGGCUACAUGAUAGACACUUUAAUAUAUCUUCUUGGAAGCCGCUUAGUGUUCCAAUGAAUAAUUGUCGCUGGUGUGGUGAACGCCUUCAUUGUUUGGUGGGCUGCUUCCUGCCUGGUGUGGUUGAAGAAUUUUCAGAGAUGUAUGUACCAUGAUGAUUGAGGAGGCGUAUCGAUGGAAAUAAAUCUGAAGAAAAUAAGUCAAAUGCCCACUAUUCAGCAGACAGGUAACUCUGUUUCUUAAAUCCCUUUCUCUAUUCAUCGCCCUGUUGAUACAUGCUUAGCAAUCAGAUAAAUUGUACUCAUAUAUAAUUUAAUAUAUCUCAGAUACAGUGUCCAGAUCAUUUAGGAACCAGCGUCACUUCAAAAAAAGAUAGGACCUGAUACACAUUACAUUCAUGGACUGCUGAUAUACCUGAUGCAUUUCUUCAUGAUGGUCGGUUUCCUUUCACCAGAUCUGACAUAUUUAAUUCUGUGUGCUUGGAACCCGAAACUGAUCGAGAUCUUCAGUUCUUACUUGCAGAUGUUCUGUUAUUCAGAGUAAUUCAGUUUCCAGUCUCUGUAUAUUAAUCAAAUUAUGGGUUAUUUUCAACCUUAUACCCUUUUAUUAUGUGUUCAGUUAUGCUUCCAUGGGUUUGCAUAUGUAUUAACAAUAAAAAACAGACUAUUAUUUUGUUUAUACUUGAACCAAAGGGUGUACAAUUAAUUUGCUCUUACGAAAGGAAUGAGUAGUCAGCUAGCUGAAUGAGACGACAAUCAUGACAAGCGAACCAACACAUAUAGAGAAAUGUUAUUUUCCAGUUCAUUGUGAAAGAAGGCACAUAAGUUUUCAGAGUUCUAGAAUGUGUUUCAUUAAGAAACAAUUAUAACACUGUACUCUAACAAAUCACACAUAUGGAGAAAUGUUAUUUUCGAGUCUCCAUAACAUACUGAUCUUUUUUUAGAUAUAUGAACUUGCAUUCGCUUUGUUAAUUCUUCUGCAAUGCAGGUAAUAUUCCUAAUCAUUGCUGCUGACGCUGAAAAACUACUCCUGAAGCACUAGAAGUGCCCUCUCUAUGGCGCAUCACUCACUGGAUCCAGAUGGGCAACAUUCCGCUUCAAAAUUAAAGAGUACAGUUUUUGCCUGCCAUCAUUGCUUACCAAGAGUAAUCUACCAUGUGCCUAAUAUAUAUAUACAUAAUUGUUGCACCAUCACAAGAUUCCCAGGAUAUACAUGGGCAUAACUUUCUUUACUGUGAAUUAAUCGACAUGAUGCUGACAGGAGGAAAGGCAGGCUGUCAUUUCUAAAGGUUGAGAUUUUCUGUUUUAAGGAAUAGCAAUGCUAAAUUCUACAAUGGUACUCUGUCGAAUGUUUACAAAUACCACGAAGCUAGAGAUCUAUUGUGAAAACUUUCUUUCUUUUGUUUGUUAUAAGUUUUUAGUCAAAAAAACAUGACUUUUCCAUUACCAAACAAAUAUGUAAGAUUUAUUGCUUUUCUAACCGAAGUGUUCCUGACAAUUACAUAUGAGAGUACAUAUAACUGAGUUGUGCUGACUUGCUUUUUCUAAACUGGUAAGCUGGAGUCGGAGUUACAUAUGAGAGUAGAGAUAAUUAAGUUCUGCUCCUGACUUGAUUAACAAAAGCUAUAGAAGAAAGGGACCAAAUACCAGACAGCUGAAAAUUCAAAGAAAGGUGGAAGUAGGGAACUACACAACUUGAUUCAAGGUUACAAAGGGACAAAGGGCAUCUAUUGAGCAGCAGAAAACAAUAAUGGACUGAGCUAAGGAUAUAGUGGUCAAUUAGUAAAGAGAUCUGUGGUAAGUGUAGCAGCGGGACGCAAACGGAACUUUUGUGACUUACUGAAGUCGAGCAGGAGUUCAGAAAAGAAAUUGCAACCGAAGUAGAACCUCUUCACCAAGAGAACAUAGGGAUUUUAAGUUUUUUGUAGCCUGCACCGGAGACUGUAGAGUUAAGUUUCUACAUCUUAGUGUACAGUUUAACUAUAUAAGGUUACUUACUAUGUAGUAAAUAUUGGCUUUUGCCAUUGCUGAUCAAGUCCUUCUCUCUGUGCUUGGAAGCAUAAACCUACUUAGUGAUCCGUUUUCAGUUAAGCUAAACUUAUAUCUUUCUGCUAACAUUUUAGUGCUCUAAUGAUUAUUCAGAAGGGGAUUUGCAUGUUCCUAGAUGCAUAGCCUUUCUUAUAUAUGUUUUCAGAAGACUGGAUUUUUUAGGGAUAACAUUGGGAUUUAAGAUAGUUUUUUUUUGUUGAAUUCUGGAACUGAAAUC